RNAcentral lists this ribosomal RNA (499 nucleotides) under uncultured Glomeromycotina. RNAcentral describes it as "partial small subunit ribosomal RNA". It matches the Rfam family "Eukaryotic small subunit ribosomal RNA", at positions 591 to 1092 of the family's 1831-position model. Lineage: Eukaryota; Fungi; Glomeromycota. The record is from RNAcentral.
CCAAUAGCGUAUAUUAAAGUUGUUGCAGUUAAAAAGCUCGUAGUUGAAUUUCGGGAUCAAAUUAUCGGUCGUGCCUCGGUACGUACUGGUAUUAUUGGUUCCUCCCUUCUGACGAACCACGAUGUCAUUAAUUUGGUGUCAUGGGAAAUCAGGACUGUUACUUUGAAAAAAUUAGAGUGUUUAAAGCAGGCUCGCGCUUGAAUACAUUAGCAUGGAAUAAUGAAAUAGGACGUUUGAUUCUAUUUUGUUGGUUUCUAGGAUCGACGUAAUGAUUAAUAGGGAUAGUUGGGGGCAUUAGUAUUCAAUUGUCAGAGGUGAAAUUCUUGGAUUUAUUGAAGACUAACUACUGCGAAAGCAUUUGCCAAGGAUGUUUUCAUUAAUCAAGAACGAAAGUUAGGGGAUCGAAGACGAUCAGAUACCGUCGUAGUCUUAACCAUAAACUAUGCCGACUAGGGAUCGGAUGAUGUUAAUUUUUUAAUGACUCAUUCGGCGCCUUACG